This 434-nucleotide ribosomal RNA is filed under the name uncultured bacterium. RNAcentral's name for it is "bacterial SSU rRNA". It matches the Rfam family "Bacterial small subunit ribosomal RNA", at positions 351 to 782 of the family's 1533-position model. The record is from RNAcentral.
GCAGUAGGGAAUAUUGGGCAAUGGACGCAAGUCUGACCCAGCCAUGCCGCGUGUAGGAAGACGGCCCUCUGGGUUGUAAACUACUUUUAUCAGGGAAGAAGAUUAAGCUUGCGAGCUUACGUGACGGUACCUGAGGAAUAAGCACCGGCUAACUCCGUGCCAGCAGCCGCGGUAAUACGGAGGGUGCAAGCGUUGUCCGGAUUUAUUGGGUUUAAAGGGUGCGUAGGUGGCCUUUUAAGUCAGCUUUGAAAGCUGGUCGCUUAACGAUCAGGGGUGGGUUGAUACUGGAAGGCUUGGAUCAGGUGGCGGUUUCUGGAACGGGUCGUGUAGCGGUGAAAUGCAUAGAUAUGACCCAGAACUCCGAUUGCGAAGGCAGGAGGCUACGCCUGUAUUGACACUGAGGCACGAGAGCAUGGGGAGCAAACAGGAUUAGA